AAAAUCUCUCUGGGUUGAAUUUGCUCGCAUCAUUUCCCCAAAUAUCUGGAUCAUGUUGAAUGAAGAUAGUGGGCAAUAAAAGGUCCACUCCUGCUGGAUAUUUGAUGCCCCCGAGCUCAACUUCCUUGUAUGUUCUUCGGAUGGCUCAAGCUACCAAAAUCUGGCGCGGUUCUUCCCAGGUUAACUCUAAUGCAAUGUGUUAGCUUGGCUUUCGGCCCGCCAAAAGAAUUGGGCAGCUGCUGCUGCGGACCUGCACUGGGUGCAAACGUGUCCGGGUAGAAGAAGCAACGGCUUUCAAGAGCAGUAGCAGCAGCAGUUUGGAGAGAAGGAUAAAUUAGUAGGUGAGCAAAACACUCUGCUGGAAGUGGAUGUAUGGUCGAUCGAGUUUAUUGGGAAGAUCGAUUUUAUGCUUUCUGAAAUCCUUGGGUACACAGGCUGGGGAAGAUGUUGUUUUCCAUUAUCUAAAAGUAUAGUUUACUUUAUGUUUUUACCGCAAAAAAAAAGUAUAGUUUACUGAAUUUAGUAUAUAAAAGGCCGCAUAGGCGGUUGCUCGAUACCCGUUUCUUAUGCAAAAAA
Molecule: long non-coding RNA, 576 nt
Organism: Brachypodium distachyon (stiff brome)
Lineage: Eukaryota; Viridiplantae; Streptophyta; Magnoliopsida; Poales; Poaceae
Exons: 3
Source: RefSeq, a predicted model, not a curated record